Molecule: non-coding RNA, 73 nt
Organism: Antechinus flavipes (yellow-footed antechinus)
Lineage: Eukaryota; Metazoa; Chordata; Mammalia; Dasyuromorphia; Dasyuridae
Source: the annotation of a RefSeq genome assembly
GCCUGGCUAGCUCAGUCAGUAGAGUAUGAGACUGUUAAUCUCAGGGUCAUGGGUUUGAGCCCCAGUUUGGGCG